Molecule: ribosomal RNA, 1530 nt
Filed under: Bacteroides fragilis
Lineage: Bacteria; Pseudomonadati; Bacteroidota; Bacteroidia; Bacteroidales; Bacteroidaceae
Description: bacterial SSU rRNA
Rfam family: Bacterial small subunit ribosomal RNA
Source: RNAcentral
ACAAUGAAGAGUUUGAUCCUGGCUCAGGAUGAACGCUAGCUACAGGCUUAACACAUGCAAGUCGAGGGGCAUCAGGAAGAAAGCUUGCUUUCUUUGCUGGCGACCGGCGCACGGGUGAGUAACACGUAUCCAACCUGCCCUUUACUCGGGGAUAGCCUUUCGAAAGAAAGAUUAAUACCCGAUAGCAUAAUGAUUCCGCAUGGUUUCAUUAUUAAAGGAUUCCGGUAAAGGAUGGGGAUGCGUUCCAUUAGGUUGUUGGUGAGGUAACGGCCCACCAAGCCUUCGAUGGAUAGGGGGUUCUGAGAGGAAGGUCCCCCACAUUGGAACUGAGACACGGUCCAAACUCCUACGGGAGGCAGCAGUGAGGAAUAUUGGUCAAUGGGCGGUAGCCUGAACCAGCCAAGUAGCGUGAAGGAUGAAGGCUCUAUGGGUCGUAAACUUCUUUUAUAUAAGAAUAAAGUGCAGUAUGUAUACUGUUUUGUAUGUAUUAUAUGAAUAAGGAUCGGCUAACUCCGUGCCAGCAGCCGCGGUAAUACGGAGGAUCCGAGCGUUAUCCGGAUUUAUUGGGUUUAAAGGGAGCGUAGGUGGACUGGUAAGUCAGUUGUGAAAGUUUGCGGCUCAACCGUAAAAUUGCAGUUGAUACUGUCAGUCUUGAGUACAGUAGAGGUGGGCGGAAUUCGUGGUGUAGCGGUGAAAUGCUUAGAUAUCACGAAGAACUCCGAUUGCGAAGGCAGCUCACUGGACUGCAACUGACACUGAUGCUCGAAAGUGUGGGUAUCAAACAGGAUUAGAUACCCUGGUAGUCCACACAGUAAACGAUGAAUACUCGCUGUUUGCGAUAUACAGUAAGCGGCCAAGCGAAAGCAUUAAGUAUUCCACCUGGGGAGUACGCCGGCAACGGUGAAACUCAAAGGAAUUGACGGGGGCCCGCACAAGCGGAGGAACAUGUGGUUUAAUUCGAUGAUACGCGAGGAACCUUACCCGGGCUUAAAUUGCAGUGGAAUGAUGUGGAAACAUGUCAGUGAGCAAUCACCGCUGUGAAGGUGCUGCAUGGUUGUCGUCAGCUCGUGCCGUGAGGUGUCGGCUUAAGUGCCAUAACGAGCGCAACCCUUAUCUUCAGUUACUAACAGGUCAUGCUGAGGACUCUGGAGAGACUGCCGUCGUAAGAUGUGAGGAAGGUGGGGAUGACGUCAAAUCAGCACGGCCCUUACGUCCGGGGCUACACACGUGUUACAAUGGGGGGUACAGAAGGCAGCUAGCGGGUGACCGUAUGCUAAUCCCAAAAUCCUCUCUCAGUUCGGAUCGAAGUCUGCAACCCGACUUCGUGAAGCUGGAUUCGCUAGUAAUCGCGCAUCAGCCACGGCGCGGUGAAUACGUUCCCGGGCCUUGUACACACCGCCCGUCAAGCCAUGGGAGCCGGGGGUACCUGAAGUACGUAACCGCAAGGAUCGUCCUAGGGUAAAACUGGUGACUGGGGCUAAGUCGUAACAAGGUAGCCGUACCGGAAGGUGCGGCUGGAACACCUCCUUU